Molecule: RNA transcript, 2952 nt
Organism: Gossypium arboreum
Lineage: Eukaryota; Viridiplantae; Streptophyta; Magnoliopsida; Malvales; Malvaceae
Exons: 16
Source: RefSeq, a predicted model, not a curated record
UAGAAAACACUUAGCGAUAUUGAGAUCUGGCUUAGAGAAACGAAAAGACGUUGAAAAAUCCUCGAGAGAACUUGGGGAAAAUUUUGAGAAAACUUUUGAUAUUUUUCGUGAAAAAUAAAGAGGAGAUGUCAUUCCCUCCCUUUAGUUUUAGACAAAAAGGGUAAUUUUGCUUAAUCGUGGCUUACCAAACCUGUUUAAAAAAUAAAUUUUUGAAAAUAUUAGUUUUAAGUUACAUAUUUUGAAUCAGUACCAUCUGAUUAUUUUACCAAAUUGAGUCAAACACAAACUCCUUAAACACAAAGAAAAUAUAAAUUUUGGCGGAAGUGAGAACUCAGAACCCUAAACUUUAAGAAUUUAAACUAAACACCUAAAGAAAAUUCCCGAUUAAAGGGGGAGAAGAAAAACCUAAAAUCCCAGUUGGCGAGUGAGGUGCAAUGGGAGUGAUAAAAGAGGGCAGAGUCUCAGGCACGUUGCCGAAAGAUGAGGCGUUUGCCAUUCACUAUCCGGGCUAUCCUAAGACCACCUCUCGCGCCAUCCAGACUCUUGGAGGAACCGAAGGGAUUCUCAAGGCUCGUAGCUCGCAGCCAAACAGAUUGGAGCUCCAUUUCCGUCCCGGGGAUCCGUACUCGCAUCCUGCAUUCGGUGAGCUUAGCCCCUGUAACAGUUUGCUGCUUAAAAUAUCGAAAAAGAAGUGUUCUAAUCGCCAAACCGCCGAAGCUUCAAGUAAGUUACAAGAGUGUUCAACAUCAGGAGUAAAUGAUGCGGAAAACCCGAAACAGCCAUUUCGAGUUGAAGUGGAGAGACCGGAAGAAGAAGAAGAAGAGGAAUCGAACCUUUGUGCUGAUAUUGUUUGUCGUGUCUCCGAAGCUUACAAUUUUGAUGGAAUGGCUGAUUAUCAGCAUGUUCUCCCUGUUCAUGCCAAUGCUGCCAGGAAAAGAAAGGGAAAUUGGGUGGAAGCAGAAGAGACAUCCUUUGAAAAGGGUGGGUUCAUGGAUGUGGAUCAAGAGGAUGUGAUGAUGAUAUUGCCUCCGCUCUUUUCACCCAAAGAUAUGCCAGAGAAUGUAGUGUUAAGACCAUCAACCAUCUUAAGUUCAAAAAAGAACCAAGAGGUAGCUGUACAUUAUAGUGCUCAGGUUGACCUAGAGCCAGGCCUUGCAAUUGAUUUCAACAUUAAAGAGGUUCCUAAGAAUGUGAACUGGGAGGAACAUAUAACCCAGGACUCAGAGCAGUGGGAGUGGCAGAUGACUGUAUCUAAGCUAUUUGAAGAACGGCCUAUAUGGCCCAAGGAAUCUGUAACUGAGCGCUUGCUUCAGAAAGGUCUAAAAUUUAGCCAUUUGGUGCUUAAAAGGCUUCUACUUGGGGUUGCUUACUACUUCUCAAAUGGACCAUUUCGGAGAUUCUGGAUCAGAAAAGGAUAUGAUCCUCGCAAAGAUCCUGAGUCUCGCAUAUAUCAGAGAACUGAUUUUCGUGUACCUGAACCAUUGCGGAACUAUGCAGAUGCUAGCGUGGCUAACAAUUUGACGCAUAAGUGGGGAGAUUUAUGUUCAUUCCAAGUAUUUCCUUACAAAUUCCAGAUGAUUUUACAACUAUUUGAACUGGAUGAUGAUUACAUUCAACAAGAGAUACGAAAGCCUCCAAAAUUAGAAACAUGCGAUCCUAAAACUGGAUGGUUCUCCGAGUGUCUGCUUGAUUGCCUGAGACUUCGUGUAGCAAUGAGGUUCUUGUCAGUAUAUCCCAAAACUGGUGCAGAAAGCAUACUGAAAUCUUGCUCUAAUGAAUUUGAGAAGUUAAAGAGGUCAUGCUUAUACAAGGAUGUCUUCAACUCUCAUCAAGAGGAGCAUCAGCAAACUAAUAAAGGUGAUGAUGAUAAAGAGAGAGCCAAAAGUUCUGAUAAUAAGGAAGAUGAAGUUGAAGCUGAGGAUGAAGAGGAAUUGGAUGCGUAUGAUGAGACACUUACUCUGGGUGAUGGGGAUGAUGAAAUCUCUUUGCAACCUGAUACAUAUUUAGAUAUGGAGAACAACUCAAGGACAUACUUGCAAGAGCUUUUUGGUAGCUUUCCAUCAACUGGAUCUGGUACUGAUGCAAUACAGGCUGCAGACACUAGUGAUGGAGAGUAUGAAAUAUAUGAACAAUUUGGUGAUAAUAACUACUAUGAUGACGACGACGACGACGACGAAGACGACGAUGACGACGACGACGACGACGACGACGACGACGAUGAUGAUGAUGGUGGUGGUGGUGGUGGUGGUGGUGUUGGUGGUGAUGAUAGCUAACGUUCCUAACUCCAAAGUUUACAGUUGUCAAAACUUGUACACUACUGUAACAUCUCAGGAGCAAAAAAUUUUAAUGAGACUUCAAAAUAGAUUUCCAGAUUCUUGAAGCUACAAUACGUGGUAGGAUGGGGAAGAUAUACUGCAGUUAAAGUCUUUCUAGCUAGAGAGAAGGGUGACUAGAUAUCUGCAUGUUCCAUUGCAGGUCUUGUUUACAUAUCAGCUCCUAAAUUACCAAUUAUCAGGUAAACUUCUAUAACGUUUUAGUGUAUCAGUAAUGUAUACCAUUUUCCAGUUAACCUCAUACAUGAUGUAGCUUGUGUGAAUGAACAGAGCUACCUAUUAAAUGACAAUUUUGGUACUAGAAUGUCGUACCAUGCUACCAUCAUUUUCUGGUUUCAGGAAGCAUCUUUUAGCCAAACUGAUUUGUGCUUUAGAUAAGGAAUAUAAUGGUAUGAAAAAGACAUUGUCCUUUGUAAAUUAAGAGGAGACAACAAAUUUCCAGGAAUAAUCAUCACAGUUGAAGCAUUAGCUCUGUUUUUGUUCUUUUUCUUAGUGGACUUAAUGUCGCUUCAUGGCUAGUCUGCUAGGGCUGUAAAUGAAUUGGGUCUUAACAAUCUUUUUAUUCAUGCUUGUUUAUUUAUUUUUGAAUCUGCCGGUGUUUGUUAACAAUUUUCUAAAA